RNAcentral lists this long non-coding RNA (1772 nucleotides) under Xyrichtys novacula (pearly razorfish). The record is from RNAcentral. Lineage: Eukaryota; Metazoa; Chordata; Actinopteri; Labriformes; Labridae.
AGAGUUUUAAAAGAAUGCUGUAGCUGCAUAAGUCAGUCACAUGAACUAGACAGUAUUUCUUGAUCUGGAAACAGUUGAGCAGAUUCUGUACUACCUCUAAAACUUUGAAACCAUUACUACACUCUGAGACAUGUUGUAAGAGACAAAUGUCAAGGUUUUACAACCGUGCAUGACUCUUUUCAACAUUCUUGCUACCAGGGCCUUAGUCCUAUUCUUUUGAGUUUUGCUGUCAGUGAGAAGGUAACCUUGUGCCUUUCCUCUACAAAGAUGUCUAAUUAGAACUUUUUCUUUUCUGUGUCCAAUUGAGUGAAUACUUGAUGAUGCUAAAUUCCAGGUAAAAUACGUCUGGAGUUCAAAUAAAAUGUCUUAAUAGAGUAGGUUAGUGGGUGUAUGUUGACACUGUCGUCCUCUACAUUUAUUUUGAUGGACAAUAUGUGUCUCAAGCCAGCAGGGCAUCUCAGUUUCAACCUUUCAGUACAGAACAGUAUGACUUGGAAAUUUGUUUUGCUGCAUCUUUUUGUAUGACCAUACCUCUAAAUCGCUGAUUUGCAUCAAGGUUACAUUUUGUCAGAAGUUUUUGGCUUCUUGUCUUUUGCAUUUUUUCCUGAAGUAGCCUGAAGUUGAACAUAGGCCUGUAUUUGAGAUGACAUGAUGAGUCAGAACAUGCUCAGGUUGUGGAUAAAACAUCACUGUUGUUUGGUUUCUGUCACAAUGAGAGGAUGAAAAAUGGGAACACCACAUUGUAAAAACUAAACUUUUUUAUUCCUUUAAAAUUACUAAAAAGUAACUAUUUGAUAAUGACUUUUGGUAGAGCAAACAUUGUAUCUGAAGUGUGAAAGUUUGACAUACUGUACAUCAAACAACUCCUUUUGGUAUUUUUACACCUGGACCUAUUUUCAUCUAUUUAAUGUAACAAUCUGAAACGCUCAAGUCAGAUAACACUCGGAUUUCCCUCUGACAUCGAUGUCGUCAGUCAGUUACAUCUCUUGUCUUUCCAGCCUUUCCACCUGCCUGUCAGGUGUUAUAUUUGCUCCUCCCCUCAGGUUAUGGAGAGUUCUAGAAAUUGCUGCCAAUGACAGACAGUUUUAUGUGUCACACAGCAUCACCAGCCAAUGGCUGAUGAGUUCAUACAGAUUGCAUGGCACAAAUCAUGGGUCUCAUCACUCCACUAUGUGUGUAACUCCAGCCUUUCAACCAUGUCUCCUCUCCAUUUCUUUUAUGACAGCACCCUGGCUGUGUGUACAUGAACCAUUAUCUGUUCAUUAUAUUAGCUAAAAUAUAACCUAGAGAAAGCCUGUAUAUCUGCUUUGUAUAACCAACUCUUGUCAUUUUGUAUAACGCUUGACUCUUGAAUAAAAGGAUAAUGCAAUGAAAGAAAUAUUAAAAAAGUACACAGUUAAGACAUAUGACCUCUUGUAAUGCAACUUGAAAAGACAGGAAAGGUUUGUACUCUGUCCUUUUAUUUCUUUUAGGAAAGCUGAAUCUCAACAGCCGAUCUGGACCAGAUUGCUGUAGAAGUAUGUAGCUCUCUCCUGACUUAGACACACUUGAGCAUUUCUUCUGUACAUAGGUGCAUUUGAAGGUAAUGAAAAACAAAAUAGGCAGCAAACUUUAUAUGAGUUAAUGGAGAUAAUUUGAUCCAUGUGGGUUUUUAAAAUGUUGGGAGAUGUUUUUUGUUUUUGUUUUUCCAACCGAUGUAGCUAGCUGUAAAAUGAGAUAUAACUGCCUCCUGUUUGUCAUAGAAUUCACAAAUAAAUGUUUGUUGAAAUCAA